Molecule: unclassified non-coding RNA, 194 nt
Filed under: uncultured fungus
Lineage: Eukaryota; Fungi
Description: sequence contains ITS1, 5.8S rRNA gene
Source: RNAcentral
UUGAUUUAUUUGUUUUGCCUUGCGGCGUAUUCAGAAGAUGCUGAUAAUACAAGAGUUUAAGGGUCCCCGGCGGCCGCUGGUCCAGUCCGCGUCCGGCUGGGGCGAGUCCGCCGAAGCAACAAUAGGUAGGUUCACAUAAGGGUUGGGGAGUUGAAAACUCGGUAAUGAUCCCUCCGCUGGUUCACCAACGGAGA